GACGAACGCUGGCGGCGUGCUUAACACAUGCAAGUCGAACGGUGAAAGCGGAGCUUGCUCCGCUGGAUCAGUGGCGAACGGGUGAGUAACACGUGGGCAACCUGCCCCUCACUUCGGGAUAACUCCGGGAAACCGGGGCUAAUACCGGAUAUGACCUCCUUGGGCAUCCUUGGAGGUGGAAAGUUUUUCGGUGAGGGAUGGGCCCGCGGCCUAUCAGCUUGUUGGUGAGGUAGUGGCAAACCAAGGCGACGACGGGUAGGCGGCCGGAGAGGGCGGCCGGCCACACUGGGACUGAGACACGGCCCAGACUCGUACGGUAGGCAGCAGUGGGGAAUAUUGCGCAAUGGGCGAAAGCCUGACGCAGCAACGCCGCGUGCGGGAUGACGGCCUUCGGGUUGUAAACCGCUUUCAGCAGGGAAGAAGCCGCAAGGUGACGGUACCUGCAGAAGAAGCACCGGCUAACUACGUGCCAGCAGCCGCGGUAA
This 485-nucleotide ribosomal RNA is filed under the name uncultured bacterium. Its description in RNAcentral is "partial 16S ribosomal RNA". It matches the Rfam family "Bacterial small subunit ribosomal RNA", at positions 28 to 523 of the family's 1533-position model. The record is from RNAcentral.